RNAcentral lists this ribosomal RNA (648 nucleotides) under uncultured bacterium. RNAcentral describes it as "bacterial SSU rRNA". It matches the Rfam family "Bacterial small subunit ribosomal RNA", at positions 257 to 898 of the family's 1533-position model. The record is from RNAcentral.
GUAAUGGCUCACCAAGGCUACGAUCGGUAGCUGGUCUGAGAGGAUGAUCAGCCACACUGGAACUGAAACACGGUCCAGACUCCUACGGGAGGCAGCAGUGAGGAAUAUUGCGCAAUGGGGGAAACCCUGACGCAGCAACGCCGCGUGGGUGAAGAAGGCCUUCGGGUCGUAAAGCCCUUUCGGACGGGACGAACGCUUCGCGGUGAAAGCCGCGAAGUCUGACGGUACCGUAGGAAGAAGCACCGGCUAACUCCGUGCCAGCAGCCGCGGUAAUACGGAGGGUGCGAGCGUUGUUCGGAAUUACUGGGCGUAAAGCGCGUGUAGGCGGCCUUGCAAGUCAGGCGUGAAAGCCCUCGGCUUAACCGGGGAAGUGCGUCUGAAACUGCUUGGCUUGAGUACGGGAGAGGGAGGCGGAAUUCCCAGUGUAGAGGUGAAAUUCGUAGAUAUUGGGAGGAACACCGGUGGCGAAAGCGGCCUCCUGGACCGAUACUGACGCUGAGACGCGAAAGCGUGGGGAGCAAACAGGAUUAGAUACCCUGGUAGUCCACGCGGUAAACGAUGGGCACUAGGUGUGGGGGGUAUCCACUCCUCCCGUGCCGAAGCUAACGCAUUAAGUGCCCCGCCUGGGGAGUACGGCCGCAGGUUAAA